RNAcentral lists this transfer RNA (70 nucleotides) under Marmota monax (woodchuck). RNAcentral's name for it is "tRNA.Ala". The record is from RNAcentral. Lineage: Eukaryota; Metazoa; Chordata; Mammalia; Rodentia; Sciuridae.
GAUUGUAGCUUAGUGGUAGAGUACAUGCUUAGCAUACAGGGGGUCGUGGUUCAAUCCCAAGCACAAAACA